This 195-nucleotide ribosomal RNA is filed under the name uncultured bacterium. RNAcentral's name for it is "partial 16S ribosomal RNA". It matches the Rfam family "Bacterial small subunit ribosomal RNA", at positions 338 to 524 of the family's 1533-position model. The record is from RNAcentral.
CCUACGGGAGGCAGCAGUGGGGAAUAUUGGACAAUGGGGGGAACCCUGAUCCAGCCAUGCCGCGUGUGUGAAAAAGGCCUUAUGGUUGUAAAGCACUUUAAGCGAGGAGGAGGCUCUUUUGGUUAAUACCCAAGAUAAGUGGACGUUACUCGCAGAAUAAGCACCAGCUAACUCUGUGCCAGCAGCCGCGGUAAU